This 301-nucleotide ribosomal RNA is filed under the name uncultured bacterium. Its description in RNAcentral is "partial 16S ribosomal RNA". It matches the Rfam family "Bacterial small subunit ribosomal RNA", at positions 509 to 807 of the family's 1533-position model. The record is from RNAcentral.
CAGCCGCCGCGGUAAUAUGUAGGGUGCGAGCGUUAAUCGGAAUUACUGGGCGUAAAGCGUGCGCAGGCGGUUCGUUAAGACAGAUGUGAAAUCCCCGGGCUUAACCUGGGAACUGCAUUUGUGACUGGCGAGCUAGAGUAUGGCAGAGGGGGGUAGAAUUCCACGUGUAGCAGUGAAAUGCGUAGAGAUGUGGAGGAAUACCGAUGGCGAAGGCAGCCCCCUGGGCCAAUACUGACGCUCAUGCACGAAAGCGUGGGGAGCAAACAGGAUUAGAUACCCGGGUAGUCCCUGUCUCUUAUAC